CCAUUUAAAAGCAAUUUUCACUAACAAUUCUUUAGUUGCAAGACACGUAAACUUUCUCCUAUAGAUUUAACAUGACAUCUAUCUUGACAAUUUCAUAUUAAAUUAAUAGUAAUAAUUAGUAGUAGUAACUUGUAACUACUACUACUUAGCCUUCUUCUUUCUCUAACACUACCUUCUCUCUCUCUCUCACAGCUAGAACCACCAUCAAAUUUACCUCCAACAACCAUUGUUAAAACCAUUGCAGAUUGUAAUGGAGAUAUUCAUCUUCAGUCUCCACCGUGUUUUCGUCAUUUUCACAUACUAAAUAUCUCUUUCUUUUUAUUAUAUUCUAAAGAAACUAAAGAACAUCUCUCAUUUUCAAAAGUCCAUAUCUCUCUCUACUCUUCCGGUGAAAACUCCUCCGUACUGUGCCUAUACCAUCAAUAUUCGUCUCUUUCACUAGAGAACCACCACUGGUUUAUAUAUCUGUUCUUUAAAACUGUGAAACCCAAAGUUCUUCUUCUCACUUAUGUUGUUAUUUUUGUAUAACAUUCAACACAAAAUUUAUAUAUACAAUAUUUCUUCUUCUUUCUUUUGAUUCAUAGAUCUCUCUAAAACACCAAGUUAUUUUGUCAUACCCGACGAAAUCCGUCCGGUCUAACCGCCACCCGAUCUGUCCGCCACCCGACAAAACCGUACAAGUAAUCGGUCGGUGAUGGGUGAGAUUUUUGCUUCAAUGGUUAUUGUCGGUUUUGGAUUUUACGGCCCGAACCCGGCCGUAACCGACCGAUNNNNNNNNNNNNNNNNNNNNCCUAGCCCUCACACACCUUAAAGAAACGAAAACAUUUGUUGUCUUGUUGAAAUACAAUAUGAGCUUCAACUCUUCAUUUCACAGAUGCACAUUCAUCUUCUUCAUUCUCGUUAUAAGUUUAAGAUUGAGUUGCUCUUCUCAAGUUGAUGAGGUAACAAGGUUACCUAAUCAGCCCAAAGUUGGAUUCAAACAAUAUGCUGGGUAUGUUU
RNAcentral lists this long non-coding RNA (999 nucleotides) under Trifolium pratense (red clover). Its description in RNAcentral is "long non-coding RNA (TPRA_LNC000523)". Lineage: Eukaryota; Viridiplantae; Streptophyta; Magnoliopsida; Fabales; Fabaceae. The record is from RNAcentral.